RNAcentral lists this ribosomal RNA (305 nucleotides) under uncultured bacterium. RNAcentral describes it as "bacterial SSU rRNA". It matches the Rfam family "Bacterial small subunit ribosomal RNA", at positions 335 to 630 of the family's 1533-position model. The record is from RNAcentral.
UGUACCUACGGGACGCAGCAGUAGGGAAUCUUCGGCAAUGGACGAAAGUCUGACCGAGCAACGCCGCGUGAGUGAAGAAGGUUUUCGGAUCGUAAAACUCUGUUGGUAAAGAAGAACAAGGGUGAGAGUAAAAUAUUCACCCCUUGACGGUAUUUACCCAGAAAGCCACGGCUAACUACGUGCCAGCAGCCGCGGUAAUACGUAGGUGGCAAGCGUUGUCCGGAUUUAUUGGGCGUAAAGCGAGCGCAGGCGGUCUUCUAAGUCUGAUGUGAAAGCCCCCGGUUCAACCGGGGAGGGUCAUUGGG